This 253-nucleotide ribosomal RNA is filed under the name uncultured bacterium. Its description in RNAcentral is "partial 16S ribosomal RNA". It matches the Rfam family "Bacterial small subunit ribosomal RNA", at positions 524 to 776 of the family's 1533-position model. The record is from RNAcentral.
UACGAGGGGGGCAAAUGUUGUUCGGAAUCACUGGGCGUAAAGGGAGCGUAGGCGGGCUUCUAAGUUAGGUGUUUAAUCCCGGGGCCCAACCCCGGUCGUGCACUUAAAACUGGAAGUCUUGAAUAGUGGAGAGAUCAGUGGAAUUGGGGGUGUAGCGGUGGAAUGCGUAGAGAUCCCCAAGAACACCAGUUGCGAAGGCGGCUGACUGGACACAUAUUGACGCUGAGGCUCGAAAGCAUGGGGAGCAAACAGG